GACGAACGCUGGCGGCGUGCCUAAUACAUGCAAGUAGAACGCUGAAGAGAGGAGCUUGCUCUUCUUGGAUGAGUUGCGAACGGGUGAGUAACGCGUAGGUAACCUGCCUUGUAGCGGGGGAUAACUAUUGGAAACGAUAGCUAAUACCGCAUAACAAUGGAUGACACAUGUCAUUUAUUUGAAAGGGGCAAUUGCUCCACUACAAGAUGGACCUGCGUUGUAUUAGCUAGUAGGUGAGGUAAUGGCUCACCUAGGCGACGAUACAUAGCCGACCUGAGAGGGUGAUCGGCCACAAUGGGACUGAGACACGGCCCAGACUCCUACGGGAGGCAGCAGUAGGGAAUCUUCGGCAAUGGGGGCAAACCUGACCGAGCAACGCCGCGUGAGUGAAGAAGGUUUUCGGAUCGUAAAGCUCUGUUGUAAGUCAAGAACGGGUGUGAGAGUGGAAAGUUCACACUGUGACGGUAGCUUACCAGAAAGGGACGGCUAACUACGUG
This 497-nucleotide ribosomal RNA is filed under the name uncultured bacterium. Its description in RNAcentral is "partial 16S ribosomal RNA". It matches the Rfam family "Bacterial small subunit ribosomal RNA", at positions 28 to 507 of the family's 1533-position model. The record is from RNAcentral.